Bos taurus (domestic cattle) is the source of this 57-nucleotide non-coding RNA. NCBI's taxonomy places the organism in Eukaryota, Metazoa, Chordata, Mammalia, Artiodactyla, Bovidae. The record is from Rfam.
UAGCUCAGAUGGUAAAGCAUCUGCCUGCAAUGCAGGAGACCCAGGUUUGAUCCCUGG